This 780-nucleotide ribosomal RNA is filed under the name Triticum aestivum (bread wheat). RNAcentral describes it as "partial small subunit ribosomal RNA". The record is from RNAcentral. Lineage: Eukaryota; Viridiplantae; Streptophyta; Magnoliopsida; Poales; Poaceae.
CAUGCCCUAUUCUUAUGCCCACGAGUACAAGAUGUGUGGCGCAUCCUAGGUCUAGGACAAUUGGUGGCUGAGGUAUGUACUGCACAACGUGAGGGAGGAUCAGUACUAGCUGACAUGUUUCUGUCCAAGAGCAGCCUACAGGCAACGGUGGUGGGAGUCCAACGCAAUGCACUGGUGGCAACCACUGUAUGGUAUGUGUGGUGGGAGCGUCGCCGCUACAUCCACGAGGAGUUUCUAUAGGACCUGUCCAGAUCGGCAUAGGCUAUUGCGGCUCUAGCUAAAAAUUUCACGAGAGCUAGAAAUAAGAACACAAAGAUCAGGAGGCACGGAUGGGAGAGGCCACCUGAGGGAAUAAUAAAAUUGAACGUCGACGCGGGAUUUGAGAUGGACAGCGGCUCUGGGACGUGCGAGAACAUUCCCUUUGUGGAAGAUGCGGCGACGGCAGAAGCAAGGGCUCUGAAAAAUGGGUUGUUACUUGCUAAUGAUAUGGGUUGCAACAAACUUUAUGUCGAAGCGGACUGCAUGGAAGUGAUUGAUGUUAUGCAGAACGGCGGGAACUUCCUCGGACAUGCAGCGGCAAUUUAUGAAGAAUGUACUUUCUUAGCUCGUAAUUUUAGUUUUAUUGUUUUUAAUCACUGUCCUAGAGAAGCCAAUAUGGCGGCCGAUGUGUUGGCUAGGAAUUCGGAGUCCUCUCGAACUAUUGUUUGGAAGUCGGAGCCUUUGGGUUUUCUAGUAGACGUCCUAUCAAACGAUGUAUCCUUAUUUUCACAUGAAAUAUAA